This 266-nucleotide ribosomal RNA is filed under the name uncultured bacterium. RNAcentral's name for it is "partial 16S ribosomal RNA". It matches the Rfam family "Bacterial small subunit ribosomal RNA", at positions 793 to 1055 of the family's 1533-position model. The record is from RNAcentral.
GUCCUAGCCGUAAACGAUGUGCACUAGGUGUCGGGCCCUCUGGGCUCGGUGCCGCAGUUAACACUUUAAGUGCACCACCUGGGGAGUACGGUCGCAAGACUGAAACUCAAAGGAAUUGACGGGGACCCGCACAAGCGGUGGAGCAUGUGGUUUAAUACGACGCUACGCGUGGAACCUUACCAGGACUUGACAUGUAUUUGAAAGCCCAGCGAAAAGCUGGGACCUGUCCUAAAGACACAGAUACACAGGUGUUGCAUGGCUGUCGU